GCGGGUGUAGUUCAAUGGUAGAACAUCAGCUUCCCAAGCUGAUCAUGCACCCCAUUACCUGAAAGCGGACACUCGGAAAUUGCACCCCGGCGUCCGCU
Molecule: transfer RNA, 98 nt
Filed under: Gammaproteobacteria bacterium
Lineage: Bacteria; Pseudomonadati; Pseudomonadota; Gammaproteobacteria
Description: tRNA-Gly
Rfam family: tRNA
About the family: Transfer RNA (tRNA) molecules are approximately 80 nucleotides in length. Their secondary structure includes four short double-helical elements and three loops (D, anti-codon, and T loops). Further hydrogen bonds mediate the characteristic L-shaped molecular structure. tRNAs have two regions of fundamental functional importance: the anti-codon, which is responsible for specific mRNA codon recognition, and the 3' end, to which the tRNAs corresponding amino acid is attached (by aminoacyl-tRNA synthetases). tRNAs cope with the degeneracy of the genetic code in two manners: having more than one tRNA (with a specific anti-codon) for a particular amino acid; and 'wobble' base-pairing, i.e. permitting non-standard base-pairing at the 3rd anti-codon position.
Source: RNAcentral